RNAcentral lists this ribosomal RNA (429 nucleotides) under Chloroflexota bacterium. RNAcentral describes it as "Chloroflexi bacterium partial 16S ribosomal RNA". It matches the Rfam family "Bacterial small subunit ribosomal RNA", at positions 355 to 776 of the family's 1533-position model. Lineage: Bacteria; Bacillati; Chloroflexota. The record is from RNAcentral.
UGGGGAAUAUUGCACAAUGGGCGCAAGCCUGAUGCAGCCAUGCCGCGUGUGUGAAGAAGGCCUUCGGGUUGUAAAGCACUUUCAGCGGGGAGGAAGGCGAUAAGGUUAAUAACCUUGUCGAUUGACGUUACCCGCAGAAGAAGCACCGGCUAACUCCGUGCCAGCAGCCGCGGUAAUACGGAGGGUGCAAGCGUUAAUCGGAAUUACUGGGCGUAAAGCGCACGCAGGCGGUCUGUCAAGUCGGAUGUGAAAUCCCCGGGCUCAACCUGGGAACUGCAUUCGAAACUGGCAGGCUAGAGUCUUGUAGAGGGGGGUAGAAUUACAGGUGUAGCGGUGAAAUGCGUAGAGAUCUGGAGGAAUACCGGUGGCGAAGGCGGCCCCCUGGACAAAGACUGACGCUCAGGUGCGAAAGCGUGGGGAGCAAACAGG